GGGCCUACAUCCGCUCCGCCGCGACGCGGCUCACAAACUAGGGAGGGGAGAAGGGAAGAAAGACCCGAUUCGGGAACACGGCUUUGUCCCUGGAACUGUACCUCAUGUCCCCUCACUUAAUCCUCCCAAGACCUGUGGGGCGUGUCGUCAUUUUAGGGCUGGAGAUGAGGAAACCGAGGCUCGGAGAGAUGAAGCGUUGUACGGCCACCGAGCGGCUGCUUUGCAACGAAGCCAAAGCCAACGUUUUGUUCUUAGCGGCGGUCGUUUGAGCCACGCCUCACCGCAACGAGUCUGCCAUCAGCCAAGAGAUGGAGUGAAGGUACCUGAGCGCAGGAACCAUGGUCUUCAUUGCUGCCUCAGCAUUAGCGGAAGUGCCACGGGCCGGCUCCCAGGGGGCCAGAGUUUCCCAGGAACACCAUUGAGUACCACUGAACUAGAGUCUGCAAGUUAAAAGAGAACUUACUUGAAGGUCGAUGUUUUCUCUUGCUGAUUCCAUCUCGCUGCCCUCAAGUCCCUUCACACGCACCGGGUGCCGGGAACAGACUGCGUGGGCUCCUCCAGGCUCCGCCGUCUGAGUCUCUGCUGCUUUCUUCGGGUGGGAGAGAGCACACAGCUGGCGGGACAGACCUGCCAUUCAUCCCUCUGAUGUGGGAUGCCCGUCUUGGCUGCAGCCUCUGGGGGAGGUGUGCACCUGCACACACGUGUGAGUGUAUGUGUGUGCACAUGUGUGUGCUCCAGGAGGUGGCACAUGGCACACUGAUAGGUGACCUUUUGAGUUGGUAGUGACAGCAUCAUUUUCACCAGUGGCUCCAGUGACCUUCCAGUCCCAGCGGAGCCAUCUGAGGUCACCCAGCCUGCUUUGAGCUAGUAGCUUUAUGACUGGCAAAGAAAUCCUGCAUGUUUAUCAAGCAAAUUGAAAAACAGCCUGAGGACAACGCUAUCUGACUUCACCGCUGGGUCCAGUCCCCAGUCGCCACGGGUGGAGUGACCUCCAGCACAGUCUCAAUACUGAGGCAGAGGGAUUUCCGUUGUUCUUUGCUUUGUUCCCUAUAUCCCUAAAAGUUUUUAAAAAAAUUGUAGUUUACCUAAUAGGCUCCAAAGCAUAGGCUUUGUUCUGCAAAGUGAGUGAACAAUACGUUUUUACUGACGGAUUGUUUGAUUCCUUCAACUCCUCCCUUGAUUAGCCAUAGAGGGAGCAGGGAGUAGUUGUACCUUCGAAGCUUGUUUAUGCAAACAGUGGUAUUCUCCCUACUUUUAAAAUAAAAUUACCAGGAGGGAGUCUUUUUUUAGAAAGUUUUUUUUUUCCUCUCCUGUUUACCUUAGAGCCCAAAA
This 1332-nucleotide long non-coding RNA is filed under the name Homo sapiens (human). Its description in RNAcentral is "NINJ2 antisense RNA 1". The record is from RNAcentral. Lineage: Eukaryota; Metazoa; Chordata; Mammalia; Primates; Hominidae.